RNAcentral lists this ribosomal RNA (502 nucleotides) under uncultured bacterium. RNAcentral describes it as "partial 16S ribosomal RNA". It matches the Rfam family "Bacterial small subunit ribosomal RNA", at positions 28 to 507 of the family's 1533-position model. The record is from RNAcentral.
GACGAACGCUGGCGGCGUGCCUAAUACAUGCAAGUCGAACGAACCGCGACUGAGUGCUUGCACUUGGUCAAGGUGAGUGGCGAACGGGUGAGUAACACGUGGGUAACCUACCUCAUAGUGGGGGAUAACAGUCGGAAACGACUGCUAAUACCGCAUCGGACAUAGGAUCACAUGAUCCAGUGAGGAAAGGUGGCGCAAGCUAUCGCUAAGAGAUGGACCCGCGGUGCAUUAGCUAGUUGGUCGGGUAAAGGCCUACCAAGGCGAUGAUGCAUAGCCGACCUGAGAGGAUGAUCAGCCACAUUGGAACUGAGACACGGCCCAGACUCCUACGGGAGGCAGCAGUAGGGAAUCUUCCGCAAUGGGCGCAAGUCUGACGGAGCAACGCCGCGUGAGUGAAGAAGGUCUUCGGAUCGUAAAGCUCUGUUGUUAGGGAAGAACAGCGCAUAGAGUAACUGCUAUGCGUGUGACGGUAGCUAACCAGAAAGCCACGGCUAACUACGUG